GCCUCUGUAGCUCAGUCGGUAGAGCAGGGGCCUGAAAAUCCCCGUGUCGAUGGUUCGAUUCCGUCCGGGGGCACCA
RNAcentral lists this transfer RNA (76 nucleotides) under Eubacterium sp. OM08-24. Its description in RNAcentral is "tRNA-Phe". It matches the Rfam family "tRNA". From Rfam's summary of the family: Transfer RNA (tRNA) molecules are approximately 80 nucleotides in length. Their secondary structure includes four short double-helical elements and three loops (D, anti-codon, and T loops). Further hydrogen bonds mediate the characteristic L-shaped molecular structure. tRNAs have two regions of fundamental functional importance: the anti-codon, which is responsible for specific mRNA codon recognition, and the 3' end, to which the tRNAs corresponding amino acid is attached (by aminoacyl-tRNA synthetases). tRNAs cope with the degeneracy of the genetic code in two manners: having more than one tRNA (with a specific anti-codon) for a particular amino acid; and 'wobble' base-pairing, i.e. permitting non-standard base-pairing at the 3rd anti-codon position. The record is from RNAcentral. Lineage: Bacteria; Bacillati; Bacillota; Clostridia; Eubacteriales; Eubacteriaceae.